This 311-nucleotide long non-coding RNA is filed under the name Musa acuminata (dwarf banana). RNAcentral's name for it is "long non-coding RNA (MACU_LNC011865)". Lineage: Eukaryota; Viridiplantae; Streptophyta; Magnoliopsida; Zingiberales; Musaceae. The record is from RNAcentral.
CGGUUAACAUAACUGUUUUGGAUACUCAAUACGGCAACACAUGCAGGAUAUUACAGCUAAAGAUACUAUGUUGCCAUAUGAGGGGUUAAUCACUAGAUUUCUUCAUGCCUAUGAUAUUUGCAUCCCACCCGAUGAAGAAACAAUUCAAAGUGAUAGAUAUAACAUCAUCAAUAAAAAUCUACUAAAGAGACUUAGGUGCACAUUUAACAAUGGAAUAUGGAUAAGGCAACCUAGAAGGACUGAUCCUAUUCCUCCACCAGUAGAACAACCAGAAACACCAAUUUUUAGGGGAAAUGAAUCUCCUCCUCUUA